GCUUGUCUCAAAGAUUAAGCCAUGCAUGUCUAAGUACAAGCCUCAGUAAGGUGAAACCGCGAAUGGCUCAUUAAAUCACACCUAAUCUACUGGAAAGUUACUAGUUACUUGGAUAACUGAGGUAAUUCUUGAGCUAAUACAUGCGAAAAAUCUCGACUCACGGAGAGAUGCUUUUAUUAGAUCAAAACCAACCGAGCUUGCUCGUCUCUUGGUGAAUCAUGAUAACUUCACGAAUCGCAUGGCCUCGCGCCGGCGAUAUUUCAUUCAAAUUUCUGCCCUAUCAAUUGGCGAUGGUAGGAUAGAGGCCUACCAUGGUGUUAACGGGUGACGGGGGAUUAGGGUUCGAUUCCGGAGAGGCAGCCUGAGAAACGGCUACCACAUCCAAGGAAGGCAGCAGG
RNAcentral lists this ribosomal RNA (398 nucleotides) under uncultured fungus. RNAcentral describes it as "partial small subunit ribosomal RNA". It matches the Rfam family "Eukaryotic small subunit ribosomal RNA", at positions 30 to 432 of the family's 1831-position model. The record is from RNAcentral. Lineage: Eukaryota; Fungi.